This 702-nucleotide long non-coding RNA is filed under the name Homo sapiens (human). Its description in RNAcentral is "HSALNT0129413". Lineage: Eukaryota; Metazoa; Chordata; Mammalia; Primates; Hominidae. The record is from RNAcentral.
GCAGGAAGGAAUUCCAUUUAUUGUGGAUGCAUUUUCACAAUAUAUGUUUAUUGGAGCGAUCCAUUAUCAGUGAAAAGUAUCAAGUGUUUAUAAAAUUUUUAGGAAUGGCAGAUUCACAGAACAUGCUAGUCAGCUUGCAGUUUUACCUCGUAAAGAUAACAGAGAAUUAUAGUCAAACCAGUAAACAAGGAAUUUACUUUUCAAAAGAUUAAAUCCAAACUGAACAAAAUUCUACCCUAAAACUUACUCCAUCCAAAUAUUGGAAUAAAAGUCAGCAGUGAUACAUUCUCUUCUGAACUUUAGAUUUUCUAGAAAAAUAUGUAAUAGUGAUCAGGAGGAGCUCUUGUUCAAAAGUACAACAAAGCAAUGUUACCUUACCAUAGGCCUUAAUUCAAACUUUGAUCCAUUUCACUCCAAUGACGGGAGUCAAUGCUACCUGGGACACUUGUAUUUGUAAAUUCUGAUUUAGCUUAUUGUAGACUUGUGCCUACUUUGUCAUGAGGGUUUGACUUCUGCAUUCUUCAUGACUUAUGAGGAAGAUAGACUUUGUAACGCAGAUGUCACUUCUCAUGCCAGCCCUGCCCUGGUUAGCUCUUCUGGAGGAAUACUGCAGAUAAGAAAAUAGUUAUUUGGGAGGCUCCCUCAGUGUGGUAGGAAUUGAGACUAACACAAUUUUGGUUAAGUCCACUGAGGUAUGAGUUU